RNA transcript from Centruroides sculpturatus (bark scorpion), 2576 nucleotides. RefSeq lists it as uncharacterized. The transcript is spliced from 3 exons. Lineage: Eukaryota; Metazoa; Arthropoda; Arachnida; Scorpiones; Buthidae. The record is from RefSeq and is a predicted model, not a curated record.
UUUUCCUAGCUGUUUAUUACUUAAAAUAUUUGAGAAAUUUUCAAAUUAUUUUACGCUUUAUUAUCUGAAGUUGAAAUAAUCAUAGAAAUUCUUUUCACUUUGAAGAUUCUAUCAAACGUUACGCCUUCUUACGAUCCGAAAUGCUUAGAAGAGAAAAGGUAAACUUUCUGGAUGGCAAGUUUAAAAAUGAAAAAACAAAAAAAAAUUUUUUGAAUAAAUUAAAGGAAUUUAAAAUAACAUUUGUUUCCGUCUGUUCGUACACUGUCUUAGCUGACGUCAUCCGCAUCGGCCAAUACCGACCAGGUAGGAGUGUAAACUUUUCUCACCUGCCCGACCGGUUUUUCUUAUGUAGUAGACCUCAACAGACAAACGCGCAAAAGCAUGGCCACUACACCGAUCUGCAGGUGUCGUGUCCUCUAUCUGGGAUCGUCCGUGCCUCAUAUAACCAAAGAUGGACUACAAGGUAUUCAAGAGCCAUUGAGAGAAUUAUAUCCCGAACAAGGACCGCUAAGUGCUCGUGGAAUAGACUCAUGGUUGAGUGUGUGGAGUAAUGGACUUUUGUUGGAAAAUGUGGACGAAUCACGACGUGAAGUCACGCGCUUUUUUCCGGUGGAAACUUUACAUUAUUGCGCUGCUGUUCGUUAUAUGGUGGUUCCUGGAAGUGGUGCACAAGGUGUGGAAAAAUUUCUUCCUUUGGAUAGUCCCUUUGGUCAUCGUGCCGGACAAAAUUCUGGUCAUCCUCCGCUCUUUGCUUGUAUUCUUAGAAGAACAGAAGGAAUCAAAGUAUUAGAAUGCCAUGCUUUUAUUUGUAAGAAAGAAGCUGCCGCCAAUGCAUUGGUUAGGUGUUGUUUUCACGCUUAUGCUGACAAUAUAUAUGCCCGUCAAAUGGAGGAAAAUCCUUAUUAUCUCGAUACAAGAAGAUCCAGAUCUAUGUCUGGCUUAAACACAUUGGAAAAAGUCGAGGAAUGGCGUAGAAGUCACGACGAGAAAUCAGAAUUUACUACCAAUGGAUUUACUAAUGGAAACGAUAUCAUAAGUGAUAAUUCACAGCAAGAUGAUAAUUAUAAAGUGUGGACUGGUAGACCACAUGUGGAAAAAGAGGCCAUCUAUUCUGAUGUGGGAGGCACUUUUCGUAGCAAUCAAUCUAUUACGGCUACUAAGAACAAACCUCGGCAGAUGAUAUUACCGUCUCGGCCUCCUCCUCCUUUACCGGUUGAAAACAAUAAAAUGAAACCAGCCAAGAAUCUCAAAUCCAAGCAGGAAUCAAUGUCACAGAUGACAAACGGUAAUUAUUACAGAUCAGUAUCUUCCAUGGGAAGACCACCUCGUCAUCAGAACCAGAUAUACGCUACAUCGGGUCUGUAUACAGAAAGAAGAAAUAAGCGGUUUGAUAGGGCUUAUUUACCUGCAGAAGAACCCUUAUAUAUGCCUUCUAUCAGACCUACAAGUCCAGUAUCAUCAUAUCAGCCAUCUGCAUUUCCACACGAGCAAUAUUACAUGCAAUUUAAUACUGCUCCUCGUCAUCAUUCUAGAACACCCAGAAGAAGAAGACAUAUAGGACCGGAAAGCCCUUCUGAGCCUUCUCAGUCGGAAGUGGAUUCUCCAUUUAAUACAGGUAUCUAUAAAAAGAAAGGACAUUUGAACGAACGGGCAUUCUCUUACUCUAUACGACAAGAGCACACUUCUCGUUCUAAUAGUCUAGCUAAUUUGCAAUUUUUUGCAAAUGGUGAUGGACCUUCAGGAGUUCAAGAAACCCAAGCAGAAGUAACAAGGAUGAUGGCAUCCGUGGACCUCAAUGGAAGCGUAAUGAAUGGACAUGGAGGAAGAAAAAAACAUUCCAGUCAUAAAAAAUGAAAUACACUGCAAAAAUAUUUCACAUGUAAAAGUUUUAAACUUCCGUUUAAAAACUUUUAUAUUUGACUAUAUAACAACUAUAGAAUUUGGAACAUGCAAAGUUAAUUGGAGUGAAGAAAGUGAAAUGGUUUUGUAUGUAUCAGAAUCAAAACUAGUUUUAUCGAAUUUGGAACAAUUUAAUCUGGAAAAUACUAUAAUAUUAUGCUGUAGUAAAGUUUAUAUGAACUUGGCUUGGGGCAAAAAUUCUUUCUAAGAGGUGACUUCCUGAACCAACUUGCGCUGCAACUACGCCUAUGACGUCAUCUAAGAGGAAUGCGAAAUGCCGAAGCUAUUACUUGCGCUACAAAGUAGCGGUAUCUACAGAAAGAAAAUAGUUAUUUUUUUCUUCCUUUAUUUUUAGAGUUCGGGAUAUUUCCAACAAAAAUUAUUCCAAGAAUUUCAAGUUAUAGUUUCUUAAGGAAGAAACUAGUUGGCCCUACGCUCGAUGACGUUUUCCAUUGAGAAAUUCCACGAACGAUCAAGAACGGAAUUGUUUGAUUUCUUUCAAAGGAACAAAGUUUGUUUUUAUUUUGUAUAUGAAAAAUAAAAUUCCAUAUGUACAGGUACAACGUUCAUUUAUAAAAUGUAAAAGUAUACCCUCGAAAAUGUUUCUUAAACUUAAUUACUCAAUACUUGUACGACGUCUUGUAUCUUGUGUAUAAUAAUAACAAUUAAUAAUAAUA